Molecule: long non-coding RNA, 813 nt
Filed under: Brassica rapa (field mustard)
Lineage: Eukaryota; Viridiplantae; Streptophyta; Magnoliopsida; Brassicales; Brassicaceae
Description: long non-coding RNA (BRAP_LNC007759)
Source: RNAcentral
AAUAUAUAAUAUAAGUAAAUACACAAUUUAAAAAAAAUGGAAAAAGUACAUUAAGAUUUAAAUAUAUAUUUUUAAAUAUAAAAUAUAGAUAUUACGUAAAUAAAAAUAUAAGAAUUGUUUUUUAAAAAAAAAGGAAAAAGUUCAUUAAGCAUUAAACAUCUAUCUUAAAAUGUAAAAUAUAUAAUAUAAGUAAAUACACAAUUUAAAAAAAAUGGAAAAAGUACAUUAAGAUUUAAAUAUAUAUUUUUAAAUAUAAAAUAUAGAUAUUACGUAAAUAAAAAUAUAAGAAAUGGAAAUAAACAUUUUAAAAAAUAGAAAAAAUACAUUAAGAUUUAAACAUCUAUCUUAAAAUGUACAUAUCUCUUAAAAUGGUAGUAAAUUAUAUAAAAAUUGAAAUACCACAUUAAACAAAAAAAAAACAAAAAUUUAUAGUUUUACAUCAAGAAAAUCUUUAUAAAACUCAUUAUUCCAUCAACCUCACCCUAUCAAGGAAAACUUCAAAGCACUCGAGCAAAAAAAUGGUUCCACCAUCAACUUUUGCCGUCCCAAAAACCUUUAAUGACCUUGAAUGAGAUUUUUUAUAACAACAAACUUUUUGUUAGGUGGAUUCAUUGUUGGGAAACCCGCAACUUUCAAAAGCCAAACUUAUUUAUGGGAAUUGAAUUGCUUUUCAUAGACUCAAAGGUAUUCUUACAAAUUUAAUUAAUCUAAUCCAUAAUUUUAUUGUUAAUAUUCAUAGUAACUCUUUCAUGAUCAAACUAUUACAGUUAAUAACCAUUCAAGCGUUUAUCCCGAAACACUUCCUUCCUCACC